This 341-nucleotide ribosomal RNA is filed under the name uncultured Methanolinea sp. RNAcentral describes it as "bacterial SSU rRNA". It matches the Rfam family "Archaeal small subunit ribosomal RNA", at positions 994 to 1338 of the family's 1478-position model. Lineage: Archaea; Methanobacteriati; Methanobacteriota; Methanomicrobia; Methanomicrobiales; Methanoregulaceae. The record is from RNAcentral.
AUGGCGCGUCAGUUCGACUGUGAAGCAUCCUGUUAAGUCAGGCAACGAGCGAGACCCACGCCAACAGUUGCCAGCAUGUCCUCCGGGAUGAUGGGGACACUGUUGGGACCGCCUCUGCUAAAGAGGAGGAAGGAAUGGGCAACGGUAGGUCAGCAUGCCCCGAAUUAUCCGGGCUACACGCGGGCUACAAUGGUCAGGACAAUGGGUAUCGACACCGAGAGGUGGAGGCAAUCUCCUAAACCUGUCCUUAGUUCGGAUUGUGGGCUGCAACUCGCCCACAUGAAGCUGGAAUCCGUAGUAAUCGCGUUUCAAAUAGCGCGGUGAAUAUGUCCCUGCUCCUU